Molecule: ribosomal RNA, 507 nt
Filed under: Tetrablemma thamin
Lineage: Eukaryota; Metazoa; Arthropoda; Arachnida; Araneae; Tetrablemmidae
Description: eukaryotic LSU rRNA
Rfam family: Eukaryotic large subunit ribosomal RNA
Source: RNAcentral
GACCAAGGAGUCUAACAUGUGCGCGAGUCACGGGGUCUUGUUCAGGCCCACGGGCGCAAUGAAAGUGAGGGCCGCUCGCGGCCGACGUCGGGACUCUCCGCCGAGAGGCGGGGAAGCACCGACGACCCGUUCCGUCCGGCACGCCGGUCGAGCGGAGUCGGAGCGCACACGUUGGGACCCGAAAGAUGGUGAACUAUGCCUGGGCAGGACGAAGCCAGAGGAAACUCUGGUGGAGGUCCGUAGCGGUUCUGACGUGCAAAUCGAUCGUCAGACCCGGGUAUAGGGGCGAAAGACUAAUCGAACCGUCUAGUAGCUGGUUCCCUCCGAAGUUUCCCUCAGGAUAGCUGGCGCUCGGGAAACAGUCUCAUCCGGUAAAGCGAAUGAUUAGAGGCCUUGGGGCCGAAACGACCUCAACCUAUUCUCAAACUUUAAAUGGGUGAGAAGUCCGCCUUGCACGAGCGAAGGCCGGACGUGCCCAGGAUGCAGAGCGCCCAGUGGGCCACUUUU